UUUGUGCCCCUAACCCGAUAUGUGGCUCGGUCGGGGCCUCCGGCUUUCGAUGUUAGGCUAGGUGAGAGGUCUGGGUAUGUGGCUCACACUUUCUGCACCCCUUCAUCAUUGGAUAGGAGUAGCGACAGAUAUUGUCAAGAGGGCGGCUUCAGAUAUAUUGAUGUAUUGCUUUGUAAGAUCUUUGUGAAUAAUUAAUAAAAUGGCUGCAUGCAUCUUCCAGAUGCAGAGGCCGGGGGUCAUCCUCC
This 245-nucleotide long non-coding RNA is filed under the name Hordeum vulgare. RNAcentral's name for it is "long non-coding RNA (HVUL_LNC002452)". Lineage: Eukaryota; Viridiplantae; Streptophyta; Magnoliopsida; Poales; Poaceae. The record is from RNAcentral.